This 468-nucleotide ribosomal RNA is filed under the name uncultured bacterium. Its description in RNAcentral is "partial 16S ribosomal RNA". It matches the Rfam family "Bacterial small subunit ribosomal RNA", at positions 28 to 507 of the family's 1533-position model. The record is from RNAcentral.
GACGAACGCUGGCGGCGUGCUUAACACAUGCAAGUCGAACGGAAAGGCCCUGCUUUUGUGGGGUACUCGAGUGGCGAACGGGUGAGUAACACGUGAGUAACCUGCCCUUGACUUUGGGAUAACUUCAGGAAACUGGGGCUAAUACCGGAUAGGAGCUCCUGCUGCAUGGUGGGGUUUGGAAAGUUUCGGCGGUUGGGGAUGGACUCGCGGCUUAUCAGCUUGUUGGUGGGGUAGUGGCUUACCAAGGCUUUGACGGGUAGCCGGCCUGAGAGGGUGACCGGCCACAUUGGGACUGAGAUACGGCCCAGACUCCUACGGGAGGCAGCAGUGGGGAAUAUUGCACAAUGGGCGGAAGCCUGAUGCAGCAACGCCGCGUGCGGGAUGACGGCCUUCGGGUUGUAAACCGCUUUCGCCUGUGACGAAGCGUGAGUGACGGUAAUGGGUAAAGAAGCACCGGCUAACUACGUG